AACGACGCUGGCGGCAGGCCUAACACAUGCAAGUCGAGCGAGACCUUCGGGUCUAGCGGCGGACGGGUGAGUAACGCGUGGGAAUGUGCCCUUCUCUACGGAAUAGCCUCGGGAAACUGGGAGUAAUACCGUAUACGCCCUUAGGGGGAAAGAUUUAUCGGAGAAGGAUCAGCCCGCGUUGGAUUAGGUAGUUGGUGGGGUAAUGGCCUACCAAGCCUACGAUCCAUAGCUGGUUUGAGAGGAUGAUCAGCCACACUGGGACUGAGACACGGCCCAGACUCCUACGGGAGGCAGCAGUGGGGAAUCUUAGACAAUGGGGGCAACCCUGAUCUAGCCAUGCCGCGUGAGUGAUGAAGGCCUUAGGGUUGUAAAGCUCUUUCAGCUGGGAAGAUAAUGACGGUACCAGCAGAAGAAGCCCCGGCUAACUCCGUG
RNAcentral lists this ribosomal RNA (432 nucleotides) under uncultured bacterium. RNAcentral's name for it is "bacterial SSU rRNA". It matches the Rfam family "Bacterial small subunit ribosomal RNA", at positions 33 to 507 of the family's 1533-position model. The record is from RNAcentral.